This 447-nucleotide ribosomal RNA is filed under the name uncultured bacterium. RNAcentral's name for it is "bacterial SSU rRNA". It matches the Rfam family "Bacterial small subunit ribosomal RNA", at positions 355 to 825 of the family's 1533-position model. The record is from RNAcentral.
UCGGGAAUUUUGGGCAAUGGGGGAAACCCUGACCCAGCAACGCCGCGUGAAGGAUGAAGUAUUUCGGUAUGUAAACUUCGAAAGAAUAGGAAGAAUAAAUGACGGUACUAUUUAUAAGGUCCCGCUAACUACGUGCCAGCAGCCGCGGUAAUACGUAGGGACCAAGCGUUGUUCGGAUUUACUGGGCGUAAAGGGCGCGUAGGCGGCAUGACAAGUCACUUGUGAAAUCUCUGGGCUUUAACCCAGAACGGCCAAGUGAUACUGUCGCGCUAGAGUGCAGAAGGGGCAAUCGGAAUUCUUGGUGUAGCGGUGAAAUGCGUAGAUAUCAAGAGGAACACCUGAGGUGAAGACGGGUUGCUGGGCUGACACUGACGCUGAGCGCGAAAGCCAGGGGAGCAAACGGGAUUAGAUACCCACGUAGUCCCUGAGCGGGCUGGCAAGGCGCAU